RNAcentral lists this long non-coding RNA (1008 nucleotides) under Equus caballus (horse). RNAcentral's name for it is "lncRNA (ENSECAG00000049474.1)". The record is from RNAcentral. Lineage: Eukaryota; Metazoa; Chordata; Mammalia; Perissodactyla; Equidae.
GUGAGUGUCUAAAUGCCACUGGAUUGUGCGCUUUAAAACGUCUCAUUUUAUGUCAUGUGAAUUUCUCCCCAACAAAAAGGAAGCAUAUAUAACAGUAUCUCAUUUUUCAAAUCCUCUGGUAAUUGUAUUUCAGUGCUAGAACCCUAGGACAUUUCUUCCAUGCAUUUAACUCCCUUGGCCUCGCCAGACGCCAGGUCGGGGUCCCCUGGACUGGAAGCUCUCCACGGCCACUCUUGGAACCUGUUUUUACCAGGAGAGGUGCAGUCCCACCUCCUGGUCCCCCCCAGGCCCAUCCUGGCUCCAUGUAGAGAAGUUGCUGGUGGAAGACGAGCGCCGGUUUCCUCCGGCUUCACCGCUAAGGGGGCUGGGAGCAGACAGACGAGGCAGAGCCCCCAGGCUGGCCCUCUCGUCUUGCACUUAGCGUCAGUGUGGAAGGCUCUCCCACCUCUAGGAGUCGUCUCUGAGAAUGCAGACGUCCCGGGAGAGGGGAGACCCAGCCGGGUGGAUCUGCAGGCAGGUGAGGCUGGACCAGGUAGCGGGUAAGAAGAAGCAGCAGGAGAUUAUUGCUGAGCUAAGCUCCGUGCCAGUCUUCCUCCACUUUAUAUGUGGGACACUGCCACAGCAUGGCUUGAGGAGUGAUGUGUAGGUCCAUGCCCAGGAUCCGAACCUGUAAAGCCUGGGCCACUGAAGUGGAGCGUGGGAACUUAACAACUAUGCUACUAGGCUGGCCCACCGGCCGAUUAUUCGUGACUGGAAACUUUGAUUCCCGGCGGCUGUUUCCCACCCUUCUGCAUCCACAUUCAUGUGCCCCCACCUGCUCAUAAACUCCUGGGGAGAUAAAAAGCAGUACAUGCCGACUCUGCUGGGCAACGUGCGAGGUGUCUGUAAGCAUCUCGUGAUCGCAUCUCGUCCUUCCUGCAAGCCCACGCAGUAGGCACUGUUCACGGAUGGAGAAACUGCAGCUCAGAAAGGUGAACCUGUCGCUCGUGCAGAGCUGGGACUCAAACC